RNAcentral lists this ribosomal RNA (1246 nucleotides) under metagenome. RNAcentral describes it as "bacterial LSU rRNA". It matches the Rfam family "Bacterial large subunit ribosomal RNA", at positions 1636 to 2874 of the family's 2925-position model. The record is from RNAcentral.
AUACGACCGUACCGCAAACCGACACUGGUGCGCGAGAUGAGUAUUCUAAGGCGCAUGAGAGAACUCAGGAGAAGGAACUCGGCAAAUUGACACCGUAACUUCGGAAGAAGGUGUGCCCUAUUAGUGUGUAGUGAACAACGAAGCAUGAAUGGGUUGCAAAAAAUCGGUGGCUGCGACUGUUUAUUAAAAACACAGCACUCUGCAAACACGAAAGUGGACGUAUAGGGUGUGACGCCUGCCCGGUGCUGGAAGAUUAAAUGAUGGGGUGCAAGCUCUUGAUUGAAGUCCCAGUAAACGGCGGCCGUAACAAUAACGGUCCUAAGGUAGCGAAAUUCCUUGUCGGGUAAGUUCCGACCGGCACGAAUGGCGUAACGAUGGCCACACUGUCUCCUCCUGAGACUCAGCGAAGUUGAAAUGUUUGUGAUGAUGCAAUCUCCCCGCGGAAAGACGGAAAGACCCCAUGAACCUUUACUGUAGCUUUGUAUUGGACUUUGAACAGAUCAGUGUAGGAUAGGUGGGAGGCUUUGAAGCAGGGUCGCUAGAUCUUGUGGAGCCAACGUUGAAAUACCACCCUGGUGUGUUUGAGGUUCUAACCUAGGUCCAUUAUCAGGAUCGGGGACAGUGCAUGGUAGGCAGUUUGACUGGGGCGGUCUCCUCCCAAAGCGUAACGGAGGAGUUCGAAGGUACGCUAGUUACGGUCGGACAUCGUGACGAUAGUGCAAUGGCAUAAGCGUGCUUAACUGCGAGACUGACAAGUCGAGCAGAUGCGAAAGCAGGACAUAGUGAUCCGGUGGUUCUGUAUGGAAGGGCCAUCGCUCAACGGAUAAAAGGUACUCUGGGGAUAACAGGCUGAUACCGCCCAAGAGUUCAUAUCGACGGCGGUGUUUGGCACCUCGAUGUCGGCUCAUCUCAUCCUGGGGCUGUAGCCGGUCCCAAGGGUAUGGCUGUUCGCCAUUUAAAGAGGUACGUGAGCUGGGUUUAAAACGUCGUGAGACAGUUUGGUCCCUAUCUUCCGUGGGCGCUGCAGAUUUGAGGAAGCCUGCUCCUAGUACGAGAGGACCGGAGUGGACACACCUCUGGUGUAUCGGUUGCCACGCCAGUGGCAUUGCCGAGUAGCUAAGUGUGGAAGAGAUAACCGCUGAAAGCAUCUAAGCGGGAAACUCGUUUCAAGAUGAGAUCUGCCGGGGCCUUGAGCCCCCUAAAGAGUCGUUCAAGACCAGGACGUUGAUAGGUCAGGUGUGGAAGC